AUUUACUCGGAAUGCUAAAUGUGGAGGGGAAAUAACUUACCUCUGUCUUGUUGCCCCUUAAAGCUUGGUGCCAUAUGUGAUCUUCUAGUUCAACGAUAUGGCUGGGCCAGCUCAAAUGGAAGAACCACUUCACUUCAUUCCCUAGCUUUUCUGCUAAUUAUUGCUACAGGUAAGGAUAGGCAACCAGAUGGCUGCUCAUAUUUGCAUACCCUCCAGCAUGGCAGGUUCGGGUGACUGGCAGCUUGCACGACGGGGAGGCAAGUGGGAAAGCUGCCAUUCACAGGCACAGAACCAAUCUGAAUGGAAGUCUUUUUGCUGCAAGGUGCAGUUGCUUUCCCAAUUACUGCCUCAUCCUUUCUUCUCCACCUCAUACAAGCAGGUGCUCUCCUGAAAAAUUCUCGUUCAUGAGAAGGCAGGUAAAGGGUUUUGUGUUAUUUGGGGGGACAUUUGGUGAGUUACAGGCAGAGCCUAUGGAAUUUAUUGACUAGUCUAUAGACUCUAUACCUACAGCAAGCAGUAGGUUCAUUUUACACAUAUAUGUUUUCCUCUAUGAAAACCCUGAUUUACAGACAGUUGUGGGUUAUUCUACUUCCAUUGAGGGGAAGGAAUGCAGUAAUCCUCUCCAUCCCUGCUGGUCUCUUUAGGAAUUCAGCACUCAGCCAGCAUAAAUUUUCUAAACAUGGCUUCUGAUCAACACUAACCAAUCUUUUCUCGGCAACAUAGCUCCCCAAACGAGAAUGAGACAGUGUAGGAGGAAGCAAAUCUGAGGAACCAGGGCAGGCAGAAGUAAGGCGCUGGAGGACAGAGUUAAGCCUGCCCUGGACCCAUUUGAUUUUCUUUUUUUAGCCACUUUAUGAUUAUGUUUAUGAAGGUUUCUAUACCAGCCUAUUAUAUACGUUUCAGGGUGGUGAACAAGAAUAACAGAGGAAAAAUAAACAAAAACAUUAAAGUAUAUGAACA
RNAcentral lists this long non-coding RNA (960 nucleotides) under Salvator merianae (Argentine black and white tegu). Its description in RNAcentral is "lncRNA (ENSSMRG00000003385.1)". The record is from RNAcentral. Lineage: Eukaryota; Metazoa; Chordata; Lepidosauria; Squamata; Teiidae.